UACGGAGGGUGCAAGCGUUAAUCGGAAUUACUGGGCGUAAAGCGCACGUAGGCGGUUCGUUAAGUCGGAUGUGAAAUCCCCGGGCUCAACCUGGGACCUGCAUUCGAUACUGGCGAACUUGAGUAUGGUANAGGGGGGUGAAUUCCAGGUGUAGCGGUGAAAUGCGUAGAUAUCUGGAGGAACAUCAGUGGCGAAGNGGCCCCCUGGAUCAAUACUGACGCUGAGGUGCGAAAGCUGGGGAGCAAACAGGGAUUAGAAACCCCAGUAGU
RNAcentral lists this ribosomal RNA (269 nucleotides) under uncultured bacterium. RNAcentral's name for it is "partial 16S ribosomal RNA". It matches the Rfam family "Bacterial small subunit ribosomal RNA", at positions 524 to 794 of the family's 1533-position model. The record is from RNAcentral.